CAUUACUCAAAUGAGAGUUUAAAAUCAUGUACAAGAGACUCUUAUUUAUAGGAGAAAGUCUUGCCAAACCUCUCAAAUGAGAGUGUGACAAGUGUCACACCUUAUUGGUGCAAAUCCUCUGCAUUGAGGAGAAGGCAUGUGGAGCCUCAUGCCUUCCUUGCCUACAUUUCUAUUUACACCUCUUUUUUACUAUUAUACACUCAACUUUCUUUUCUAUUUACAUCAUUCUCUACUUUGGCCCAAAAUACAAGACCCAAAACUUCCUAACUACUUUAUACAAAUUUUACAAGGCUAAGAAGAAGAAAAACACUUUACAAUAUCUUCAAUAAGUCUCAAUCUUUGUCUAUCUUCUCAACUGAAAGUUUCGAGGUCGGAUGAUUUUCAUUAAGACAUACCUGAGAUAACAAAAGAUGAAAUUUGAAUAAUAACACGAACAAAAUAAGACAUACCUAAAUCAUACAAUAAAAGAAAUUGGUAUAUUCAAGAUUUCUUUCAGCAACCCCCUUAUGUUGAGGAGUAUCAAUACAAGUUUGAUGAAGAGUUCCACUGAUGAUAAGUAAUUCACAAAAAUUAUUAGAACACCACCCAAAUCUCAUUGAAAACAUUUAAUAAAAACAUUAUGUUUGGUUUUAAUCAUAGUAUGAAACAUAAGAUAUACAUAAAAAAAAAAACUCAAAACAAUGUUUCAUAAGAUAAACCUAAUAAUAACAAAUAUGUUCAUCAAUAUAAGGAUACAUAAUAGUGAGAUCCACCUUUGUUAGGAACCAAAGAUGGACCCUGUGCAUGAUAAUGAGUCAAUUCAAAAAGGUGUAUGAGACGUAAAAACACACUUGAUAAAAGGUAAAGUAGUAAAUUUGACAAGUUUACAACCACAAUAAUUAGAGAUAUCAUUGGUUUGUAGCUUGCCUAAAACUCCAGUGGAGACCAAGUAAUUUAACUUAGUGAAAGAAACAUGUCCAAUACAUAAAAAUGAUAAAUCAAAAUGGAGGUUUCAAUAAUUGGAUUCUUUAGCUCAUCUACUAUAUAAAAUCCUCAUACCUACAACUUGUCUGAAUCAACCUCCUGAAUUGAGGAUCCUUCACAUAAAAAUUAGUAAAAGAAAAAAGAAAACGAGUAAGUAAAGUCACAUAGUUGAGCGACACAAACAAGAUUUAAAGUGAGGUUAGGAAUAUAAUAAACAUCUGACAAAAUAAAUGUGGAGACAAAUCCAAUAUCUACUAAUGGCAUUGAGGAACCAUGAGUAGUCCAAAUAGAUAUAGGUGAGACGAAAAUUGAGGACUAAAAAACAUAAGAUCAUAUGACAUGUGAUGUGAGACAUCAAAAUCAAGGAUCCAUAAGAAAUGAGACAUAUUUAUGAAUUAGAAUAAAAAUUUUAAGAAUUAUGACUUGUGACUAAGUAGUAAGAAAGUUUUGAAAUUCUUCUACAAUAUCAAAUACACUAAUGAAAUUCAAAGAUAACACAGGACACAAAUUAGAUUGCAAAUAGGACCUUGAACCCCUUAAAACUCCAUUGUGUACAAUAGCUCAAACAAUAUGAAAGGAUAUGUGGAAAUCUCACAUUAUUUAUCGAACCAGAUGAGUUUACUAGUAAAUGAUUAUCAAACCAACUAUGACCUUUAACUUAAAACCAAUUGACAUUAUGUGAAGUUGUUUAUACAUAUAUAAACUGCACUCCCAUACUUGAUGCAGGCCAUGUAAGACUUCCCAACACCCAUGUUUGUAGAAUCAUGCGAAUCCACUAGUAGUAUCAAAUGAAUUAUAGAUUCUAGCUCUCUGAUAAUAAUAAAACAAAAAUAUAAUGACACAUUAAAAGGGAGGAACGAUUUCUUAUAUUAAUCUUAAUAGAAAGUCUAAAAAAACAUAACAAAUAUACAAAUAUGACAAUAAUAUAAAAAUUAACCUACCCUUAAUAUAUAUAAUAUUAUGUUAACACAUGGUAAAUAAAAUUAGGGUAAAUAGGCGUAUUAAGAUAUGGAGGACCGAGAUGUUUCUGAAUCGUGACUCAAAAUUUACAUAUCAUGGAAGAAAGAAGAAAUAGAUGGGAGAGGAAGUAAAGCAAAAGAAAUUUAAAAAUCUCAAACCAGAAGAUCAUGUCUAAACAAAUCAUCCUUGAAACCUAAAAACUCAUCAUCAACCAAUUAAUUCUUCAUCUUUAUUUCCUAUAAAUUCAAUAUUCCAAAAACACGCUUUAUUUUUAUUUUUUUAUUUUCUAGUUUAAAAGUCAAAAACCGUCUUUAAAAUUUAAAUUUAGACAGUUAAAAAUCGCAGUAAAUUGGAAAUCCAAAAUCACCUUACGUGUCUAGAAGAAGAUAAAAAUAAUAUUUUCUAAGUUAUGUAACUACAAAAUAUUUUUUUAAAUGUAAUGAAUAAAAAAGUGAGCUAGAUUUGAGGGAAAAACAUAUUUAAACUUUUUUAUAAGUUUAAAAUAUAAGUAAAUUCAAAUUCAGCAGUUAUGUAGUACAACAGUUCCUCGAGUGGCAUCAUGCAUGUUGUAACACCCCAUAAUUUACCUAUAACUAUUACAAUACCGAUUCUACAUAUUUCUAUACAAGCUUACAGUUUUUCAAAAUAUUCCUAAUACGUGAUUAGGACAUAUAGAAAUACAAAUAUUUACAAUAUAAGUUUCAAAAUCAACGACUUAAAACUCUUCUGAUCCUCAGACACCUGUAAGAUCAUCUGCUCGUGUACGUAGUACAGUCAUCGCAGUUCAAACACAACAAGAAAAGCAAGGGUAAGCUAGUGAAAAUAGAAUUUUAUAAUGUACGCAAUUAAAUCAAAAGAGAAAACCAAAUUACAUGAUCAAUUUCUCAAAUUAUACAAUCUUCUUCAAAUCCCAACAUUAGAACAAUCACAUAGAUCUCACAUGGAUCUACACAUCCAAGAUAUUCAACAAACAACGUCUUCCGGAAGACCCGUAUUAAGUAAGUCCUACCAGAGACUAACACCUGAUCCAAAGAUUACCAGCGAAUCCAACAGAAAGGAUCAAGGUAAGUUCAAUACAACCCAAGCCGUGCAUCCAUAUGUCACGGUGUGCAUGAACUCCCCCAUCAGCUUCUCACCACCUGAUAUCUUAGUCUAUGUGACUUAGAUCAUCAGUGAAGCUCGGAGAUCUCUGUUACCACAUAGGCAUCAAUACUUAAUACACAGCAAACAUCAGUCCAUACAUUAUCCCAAAUGUAUGAAUUCAAUUCCAUACCAUUCCGUCAUACAAUAUCAUUCAAAAAGUGAUCCACAAUAUUCAAAAGCGUAAUUAACAUAAAAAACAACACUUAAAUAUUAAACCAUCAAAAUAUAAUAUUUUUACAAAUUUAAAUAAUAUAUAAACAAACAACCCAAUAUAUAAACACACAACAUCCCUGCAAGAAAAAAUGAAUAUUGGGACCACGUCCCUUCCGCAUUCAGAUCUUCUAUCCUAGGGUGCUAUUAAAAAUUAAAUUUAGCUUCCCUUACCUCAAUUGCUUGCUUUCCAAGCAACUUUUAGAAUUUUAUUCCCCACCGUUUGGAUAAGCUUCAAGAUUUACGGGCCUAAUGCAAAUUAUCCAAACAGAACAAAAUUUCAGUAUAUAAUAGAAUAAGUUGAGAGGAUUAAACUUCUCAACUGACCCCACCAAGAUUAAUGACUAAAUCCUAAGGAAAAACAGAGAACACAGGAUAUUUAGAGUAAAAAUGAACUUACUCUGUUUGAAAAUCUGAUCGGGUAGAAAUGUUCUUUAACUCCUCUGCUACAGCGUGGUAUGAUCAGAUUCUAAAAUAGAUGAAGAUUGGGAGAGAAAUUAAGAGAGAGGGAGAGAAGAGAAUUGGAGAGAGAAAGAAAAAAAAAAUUGUGGUGGGAAAGAAGGGGCUUCUCUGCCCCUUUAUUUUUAUUUUUU
RNAcentral lists this long non-coding RNA (3869 nucleotides) under Phaseolus vulgaris (common bean). RNAcentral's name for it is "long non-coding RNA (PVUL_LNC004887)". The record is from RNAcentral. Lineage: Eukaryota; Viridiplantae; Streptophyta; Magnoliopsida; Fabales; Fabaceae.